This 253-nucleotide ribosomal RNA is filed under the name uncultured bacterium. Its description in RNAcentral is "partial 16S ribosomal RNA". It matches the Rfam family "Bacterial small subunit ribosomal RNA", at positions 524 to 776 of the family's 1533-position model. The record is from RNAcentral.
UACGUAGGGGGCAAGCGUUGUCCGGAAUCAUUGGGCGUAAAGGGCGCGUAGGUGGUUCUGUAUGUCUAUCGUGAAAGCGUACGGCUCAACCGUAUUUUGUCGGUAGAAACUGCAGGACUUGAGGCUGGGAGGGGCUGGUGGAAUUCCCUGUGUAGCGGUGAAAUGCGUAGAGAUGGGGGAGAACACUCGUGGCGAAGGCGGCCAGCUAGACCAGUUCUGACACUGAGGCGCGACAGCGUGGGGAGCAAACAGG